RNAcentral lists this ribosomal RNA (267 nucleotides) under uncultured bacterium. RNAcentral describes it as "partial 16S ribosomal RNA". It matches the Rfam family "Bacterial small subunit ribosomal RNA", at positions 85 to 354 of the family's 1533-position model. The record is from RNAcentral.
UUGCCGGCGACCGGCGACGGGUGCGUAACGCGUAUGUAACCUACCUUUGACAGGGGGAUAACAUCGAGAAAUUGGUACUAAUACCCCAUAACAUCACCGGAGGCAUCUUCGGUGGUUGAAAACUCAGGUGGUCAGAGAUGGACAUGCGUUGUAUUAGCUAGUUGGUGAGGUAACGGCUCACCAAGGCGACGAUACAUAGGGGGACUGAGAGGUCAACCCCCCACAUUGGUACUGAGACACGGACCAAACUCCUACGGGAGGCAGCAG